GACGAACGCUGGCGGCGUGCUUAACACAUGCAAGUCGAUCGGUCAAGCGCCUUCCUUUUUGGUGGGUGUGUAUGAGUGGCGAACGGGUUAGUAACACGUGAGUCACCUGCUCCCUCCUUCUGGAUAACCGCAUGAAAGUGCGGCUAAUACGGGAUAUUCUGAGUCUGUCGCAUCAUGGGUCUGGGAAAGAUUUUGUUUCGCUGGGGGAUGGGCUCGCGGCCUAUCAGCUUGUUGGUGGGGUGAUGGCCUACCAAGGCGAUGACGAGUAGCCGGCCUGAGAGGGUCGACGACAACGGAAGGGAGGAGAGGUGGAGCAGCCUACGAGAGGCGGCAGUAGGGGAGAAUAUGGAACGGUGGGAGCAAGGACGGUGCAGCGACGCGGCGUGGAGGAUGGAGGCCGGCGGGUUGAGAACCGCUUUCGGGAAAGAAGAAGGCUGGAAUCGUUUGUGGGUGGGUUGACGGUAGCUAGAUAAAAAGCGACGGCUAACUACGUG
RNAcentral lists this ribosomal RNA (494 nucleotides) under uncultured bacterium. RNAcentral describes it as "partial 16S ribosomal RNA". It matches the Rfam family "Bacterial small subunit ribosomal RNA", at positions 28 to 507 of the family's 1533-position model. The record is from RNAcentral.